UAUAGCUCAUUGGAAGAGCACAUGCUUAACACGCACGAGGUCCUGGGUUCAAUCCCCAGUA
Molecule: transfer RNA, 61 nt
Filed under: Camelus bactrianus (Bactrian camel)
Lineage: Eukaryota; Metazoa; Chordata; Mammalia; Artiodactyla; Camelidae
Also listed under: 2 other names
Rfam family: tRNA
About the family: Transfer RNA (tRNA) molecules are approximately 80 nucleotides in length. Their secondary structure includes four short double-helical elements and three loops (D, anti-codon, and T loops). Further hydrogen bonds mediate the characteristic L-shaped molecular structure. tRNAs have two regions of fundamental functional importance: the anti-codon, which is responsible for specific mRNA codon recognition, and the 3' end, to which the tRNAs corresponding amino acid is attached (by aminoacyl-tRNA synthetases). tRNAs cope with the degeneracy of the genetic code in two manners: having more than one tRNA (with a specific anti-codon) for a particular amino acid; and 'wobble' base-pairing, i.e. permitting non-standard base-pairing at the 3rd anti-codon position.
Source: Rfam by way of RNAcentral